CCAAGUACUACAUAAUCAUCAAAUAUAUGUUUUUAAGGAAGUUAUUUAAGAUGGAAAUUGAUCAAAAUAUUCUCUCUUUCUCUGAGAUGAUCAACUGUACAUAGAUCAAACAAGUUAUGAUCCAUAGAAACUUGUCGAAUAUGAAAGUACAAACAGAAUUUGCUUCGCCAGCAAAAAUUCAAGGCAAAGAUGCAUUGAGAAAAGGAAUUGGAAAUCAUUUAACCCAAAAUACUUUAGAUCCAUCAGAGAAAAGGAAAAAAUAGCCUCUGGAAACGGGGUCUAUAUGUCAAAUUUAGAUAAAAAGAUACAAAAUUUAAUCAAAUUCCAUUCCAUUUUUCCCAAGCUAACCAUUUUCCCAUAAAAAGAGCACAAGAUCUAGAACACAACAACCCACGUUGACAUUUUUAAGAGAACAACAGUUGGAUUAGAAUUAAAAUUAAAAUAAAAUUCAUAACAGAAAACUCAGAUCUGACAGAUAAACUGAGCGUUAAUAUAUGUUAAACUCGAUUACAUAUACAGCAACUACAAUUCUCUUGCCACGGAUAUAAAGCACUACAAAGAUACAAAAAAAAAUGGAGAAUGCGAUAAGAUUAUUAGAGAAUGGGAAGAUCAAAUCGAGCUGAUUGAAAUUUCUGUGUAAUUUUUUACAAUUCUAUGAUUGAAAUCAUACCUUUGAUAUCAAUGCCGAAUCAGUUACAGAAGCGAGAGACGGAGAGAAAACCGGUUGGGAGAAAGCUUCGUAUAAAUAAA
RNAcentral lists this long non-coding RNA (750 nucleotides) under Nicotiana benthamiana. RNAcentral describes it as "long non-coding RNA (NBEN_LNC005433)". Lineage: Eukaryota; Viridiplantae; Streptophyta; Magnoliopsida; Solanales; Solanaceae. The record is from RNAcentral.